UAUCUUAAUCCUUUACAGGAUAACCCGGCAUAUUCGGUCGUCAGGCAAUACUUUGUUAACACAGACGACAGUGUCGCCCACAGAAUUGUGGUUCAUAAAGACAGCCCGAGGGGCGUCCAUUUCCGGAGAGCCGGCCCUCGUCAAAAGGUUUAUUUUGAGUCUGAUGAGGUGAAUGCUUGCAUUGUGACAUGUGGAGGGCUUUGUCCAGGCCUCAAUACGAUAAUUAGAGAGAUUGUGUGUGGCUUGUCACACAUGUACGGCGUCACAAGUAUACUUGGGAUAGAGUGGGGAUACAUGGGUUUUUACUCUCGCAAUACCAUUCCCUUGACACCCAAGAGCGUCAAUGAUAUCCAUAAGAGAGGGGGAACUGUCCUUGGGACAUCACG
RNAcentral lists this unclassified non-coding RNA (386 nucleotides) under Hevea brasiliensis (rubber tree). The record is from RNAcentral. Lineage: Eukaryota; Viridiplantae; Streptophyta; Magnoliopsida; Malpighiales; Euphorbiaceae.